CGCGUAGGCGGCGCGGUAAGUCUCUUGUGAAACCUCUGGGCUUAACUCAGAGCCUGCAGGAGAAACUGCCGUGCUGGAGUGUGGGAGAGGCGAGUGGAAUUCCUGGUGUAGCGGUGAAAUGCGUAGAUAUCGGGAGGAACACCAGUGGCGAAGGCGGCUCGCUGGACCACAACUGACGCUGAGGCGCGAAAGCUAGGGGAGCAAACAGGAUUAGAUACCCUGGUAGUCCUAGCCUUAAACGAUGAAUGCUUGGUGUGAUCGGUAUCCAAUCCGAUCGUGCCGCAGUUAACGCGAUAAGCAUUCCGCCUGGGGAGUACGGUCGCAAGGCUGAA
RNAcentral lists this ribosomal RNA (332 nucleotides) under uncultured bacterium. RNAcentral describes it as "bacterial SSU rRNA". It matches the Rfam family "Bacterial small subunit ribosomal RNA", at positions 568 to 898 of the family's 1533-position model. The record is from RNAcentral.